AUUUUAUUUCUAAAAAUUAUUUUAGUAGUAAAUAAUAGGAAUAAUUCGACUAUACUUCACACAUAGUUCUUUUGUAAGUCUGCGUUUUAUGUAAAAAUGUCAAGCUCCAAGUAUUACAAUGCACGGGUAAAAGCUCGGAUUGCAUGAAUCUGAAGGUUGAUGCUUGUGCUCAGGAAUUAACAAAUCAGGGGAUCUGCCAGAGAAUCAUUCAGAAUGCAACUUCAAUUGAGUUCACCGUAGGAAUUAACAAAUUCAGGGAAUCUGAGAUCUGAACGGUAACCGGAGAUAAAAAGCAAGAUCCAUGCAACCUUUCACCGCGGUCUCCGAUUCAGUUGAUGCAAGGCGGGAUCUAAUUCGCUUCUGUCCAAUCUCAACCAAUCACAUAUCGCCAUUUGGCGCUGAUAAGAAUAUAUAUCCAAGCGAAGCCAAUCAGUUCCCGACCUGCACCAAGCGAAUUAGAGACCGCCGGUAACAGAAUCAACUUCUCCCUCCCUCGAACAUCUCUCCCAUUUUCUUUCUCUCUCUUCGAGAUAUAAAUGUUGAAUUAAGUAAGAUAGAGAGAGAAAAUCUAC
This 572-nucleotide unclassified non-coding RNA is filed under the name Hevea brasiliensis (rubber tree). The record is from RNAcentral. Lineage: Eukaryota; Viridiplantae; Streptophyta; Magnoliopsida; Malpighiales; Euphorbiaceae.